AGUUUGUGGAAGUUGCCGUAUAUUGCAACAACAUUUGAAGGAUACAUCAGCAAUUGUUCUAAAUGAACAGAGAAGGCCAGUAGUUCAAUAAAAA
This is a long non-coding RNA of Sitophilus oryzae (rice weevil), 94 nucleotides long. RefSeq lists it as uncharacterized. The transcript is spliced from 2 exons. Lineage: Eukaryota; Metazoa; Arthropoda; Insecta; Coleoptera; Curculionidae. The record is from RefSeq and is a predicted model, not a curated record.